Molecule: ribosomal RNA, 301 nt
Filed under: uncultured bacterium
Lineage: Bacteria
Description: partial 16S ribosomal RNA
Rfam family: Bacterial small subunit ribosomal RNA
Source: RNAcentral
CAGCCGCCACGGUAAUACGUAGGGUGCGAGCGUUAAUCGGAAUUACUGGGCGUAAAGCGGGCGCAGACGGUUACUUAAGCAGGAUGUGAAAUCCCCGGGCUCAACCUGGGAACUGCGUUCUGAACUGGGUGACUAGAGUGUGUCAGAGGGAGGUAGAAUUCCACGUGUAGCAGUGAAAUGCGUAGAGAUGUGGAGGAAUACCGAUGGCGAAGGCAGCCUCCUGGGAUAACACUGACGUUCAUGCCCGAAAGCGUGGGUAGCAAACAGGAUUAGAUACCCCCGUAGUCCCUGUCUCUUAUAC